Molecule: long non-coding RNA, 739 nt
Organism: Myzus persicae (green peach aphid)
Lineage: Eukaryota; Metazoa; Arthropoda; Insecta; Hemiptera; Aphididae
Exons: 3
Source: RefSeq, a predicted model, not a curated record
CUUGAAAUAUUAAAUUAUUUUAUACAAAGGUAGAUCAAUAUAAUUAAUUUAAUUAAAUACUCCUUAUUGUAGUAAAUACUGAGGUUAAUAAAAAUAAUGAUUCAUCUUAACUAGUUGAAUGUUACACAAAAUAAAUUCUUAUAAAUAUUCUACAUUUAUAUUAUCACUCAUGAAUUCAAAAUUCUAAUUAUUGCUGUAAUUCUAAAAAACCUUAACAUAUGUGUGAUAUAUACCAAGGUGGCAAGAUGCCCUUGAACUGCACAUUGUAAUGACAAUUCAACGUCUCGACGACCGGUUCAACACUUGAUGCACUGACCAAGGCGUCAAUGUCUACAAGAAACGGAUACUUAAACAUUAAAGGUAAUUAUCAUACAGAAUACAUAGAUAAUGAGUACAAUUACAAUAUUAUUUUCAAUUUUUCAUCUCAAUAUUUUUUAAUAUAAUAUAUAUUGUGGAUUCGCCAGUGGGGUACCUAUUACGUAAUUGUGCAUUUGUGCGAAGCGGCCGUGGUGUGGCGGAUGAUCAAUCCCCACGAAUUAUGAAAAUAAUAAAUUAAAUAUUAAAAUAUUAUGCAAUAAUAAAAAAAUAAUGUUUUUAAUUUUUGAAGUGUAUGCUUUGUACGUAUAGCAUACGCGAGAGUGUAUCUAGUAUUAGUGUAUUACGGCCUAUUUUAGUAUUAUUAUUAGAUAUUUAGAUAUAAUAAGGAUCAUUAUAAACAUUCAAAAAACUGGAAUAGGUA